Triticum aestivum (bread wheat) is the source of this 1295-nucleotide long non-coding RNA. RefSeq lists it as uncharacterized. NCBI's taxonomy places the organism in Eukaryota, Viridiplantae, Streptophyta, Magnoliopsida, Poales, Poaceae. The transcript has 4 exons. The record is from RefSeq and is a predicted model, not a curated record.
CUCACUCUCAUUCACCAGACCCCUUUCUCUCUCUGCCUCCUGCGCUUAAAUCAUUAGCGUAAUUAGUUUGAUAUCAAAAGUUGGCAUGCCAAUAUUUGGCAAGUGCUAAAUAUUGGCUAGAGAUUGGUUGCUUGCAAUUUUCAUUGUCAAUUUCACAAAAAAUUAUCAAAUGUUGGCAACUUCUGAUUUUGCCAAAUGUUGAUUUGUCAAAUAUUGGUAGCAAACCAAUUAUGCUCCAUCGCCGCCGAGCCCCAAUCCAGCCACCUCCCCAGCGGCCUGUUCUCAUGGGAGCGCCUGCUCGCUGCAGCCUCAGCUCAUCUUCGCUUUGAAGGAGGUCACCAGAUGGCGCGGCCACGGACGGGCGGCCAAACGGCUGGUGGAUCUAGACCCUACCUCGCCGGAUCCAGUGCUCGCUUGGGGCUGCGCCACGAGCGGCACCCAAUCAUUCGGGUCGCGCCACUCUGCUACCACUGCCUUCCUGACCGCCGGCGACCGACGGGGUAACGCCGCUCUUCUCUCUCCCCCCAUCUCAGUGUGGAACUCUGACCCCCGUUCCCUCUCCAUCGGUGGUGGAGUCGAGAUGAGAGGCGGCACACGUCGGGAGUGCAUAGAUAAAUCACCAGAUCUAUCUAGCAGCGUCGAAGCCAUGUAGCUCUCCACGGCACGCCGUCUCCAGUGCAUUCCUCUUCUCAGGCACCUGCCUAGGGAAGCCCCAUGGAUAAUUGGCUCUCUUCCAUGGGUCUACUAUUGUGUUAUUACCGGCAAGACAUCAUUGCACUGUCCACAUCCAAGAUCUCCAUAUUCAAUCUCAUGUUCAUAUUUUGGAAACCAAUCAAGAACCACCAACAUUGUGUGCGCAACAACACUCAGAUCAUGAUCAUAAUCUCACUUUGGAUGCUUCUCCCCAAGAUUUGGAGCUUGACGCUGCAGAGAAGUUUUUUAUCCAGUGCAUCUCAGAAAUGAACUCACUCGCUUGUUCUACGGCAGCCAACCUUUUCACCCUUGUGUUUCUGGGUCUUGAAUUCUAUCGAGCAUAGAUAACAUGUUGUUGCAUGUUAUUUGCAGUCGUAUAUACUAGCCUGACCAACAAUGCUUGUACAUGCUGAUUUUGGUAUUCUGCUAGCUGUAGAAAAUUUAGAUAGUGUAUUCUUUUAAUUCUGGCUUGAAAUCGACCAUGAGUCUGAUGUAUGUGCCAUUGUAUGUUGAAUGUUGGCUACAAUUUAUAAAUUGGAAUUAUGGCUUGGAAUUGAAUUGUUUGAAUUAUGGCUGGUAUGAAUUUAAAUUCAAAUUGCAUA